This 599-nucleotide ribosomal RNA is filed under the name Kurtzmanomyces insolitus. Its description in RNAcentral is "partial large subunit ribosomal RNA". It matches the Rfam family "Eukaryotic large subunit ribosomal RNA", at positions 48 to 631 of the family's 3401-position model. Lineage: Eukaryota; Fungi; Basidiomycota; Agaricostilbomycetes; Agaricostilbales; Chionosphaeraceae. The record is from RNAcentral.
AUGCGGAGGAAAAGAAACUAACAAGGAUUCCCCUAGUAACGGCGAGUGAAGCGGGAACAGCUCAAUUUUAAAAUCUGGCCCUUUCAGGGUCCGAGUUGUAGUCUAGAGAAACCACGUCCGCGCCGGACCUUGGACAAGUCGGUUGGAAUACCGCGCCAGUGAGGGUGACAGCCCCUUUAUUGCCAAGGACGACCGUGUGCAUUGUGUCGGGUUUUCAAAGAGUCGAGUUGUUUGGGAAUGCAGCUCUAAUCGGGUGGUAAAUUCCAUCUAAAGCUAAAUAUUGGCGAGAGACCGAUAGCGAACAAGUACCGUGAGGGAAAGAUGAAAAGCACUUUGGAAAGAGAAUGAAACAGUAUGUGAAAUUGCUGGAAGGGAAACGAUUGAGGUUAGACUUGCUGGCGCGACACUCAGCCCUCACGGGUGUAUUUGUUGCGCAUUGGCAGGCCAGCAUCGGUUUGCAGUCGGGUAAAAGGGUGCAGGGAACGUAGCAACCUCGCUGUUGUGUUAUAGACCUGCACUGGAUGCCCGAUCGCAGACCGAGGUCAGCAGGGCGCCGCAAGGCAAUGCCUCUUUGGCAUCGAGCCCUUAGGAUGCUGUGA